RNAcentral lists this ribosomal RNA (255 nucleotides) under uncultured bacterium. RNAcentral describes it as "partial 16S ribosomal RNA". It matches the Rfam family "Bacterial small subunit ribosomal RNA", at positions 524 to 777 of the family's 1533-position model. The record is from RNAcentral.
GACAGAGGGUGCAAACGUUGUUCGGAAUUACUGGGCGUAAAGCGCGUGUAGGCGGUUAUGCAAGUCGGGUGUGAAAGCCCCGGGCUCAACCCAGGAAGUGCAUUCGAUACUGCGUAGCUAGAGUACUGGAGAGGAUGGUGGAACUCUCGGUGUAGAGGUGAAAUUCGUAGAUAUCGAGAAGAACACCGGUGGACGAAGGCGGCCAUCUGGACAGAUACUGACGCUGAGACGCGAAAGCGUGGGGAGCAAACAGGA